This 220-nucleotide long non-coding RNA is filed under the name Aquilegia coerulea. RNAcentral's name for it is "long non-coding RNA (ACOE_LNC000590)". The record is from RNAcentral. Lineage: Eukaryota; Viridiplantae; Streptophyta; Magnoliopsida; Ranunculales; Ranunculaceae.
ACCUUUUUGGUAAGUUGGUCGCGUAGGUCGCCCGUUGGACCUAAACGCUGGGAGAGUCUACGCCCUCUGCUGCGGACUGGACGUGUGGAGGCCGUUCUGGCCUUGCUGUGAGGUCGCUUUGGUGAAUGCGGAGGCGUGCUGGACCCUUUCUUGGCUCGUUUGCCAAUGGUAUCCUCUUGCCUUCCAAGGAUCCAAUUGUUGAGCCUUUUUUUCAUCGGCC